UCAGCAUGCCUUAGGGUGGGAUGCACAUCUUUAGACAGAGUGGUUUAAGGCUGAGGCCUUAUUUUUGAGACAGGGAUUCUCACUUGCUGAUGCAGCAAGGCUG
RNAcentral lists this microRNA precursor (103 nucleotides) under Mus caroli (Ryukyu mouse). RNAcentral's name for it is "microRNA 6386 (MGP_CAROLIEiJ_G0008287.1)". The record is from RNAcentral. Lineage: Eukaryota; Metazoa; Chordata; Mammalia; Rodentia; Muridae.